ACCCGGCUGGCUCAGUCGGUAGAGCACGUGACUCUUGAUCUCAGGGUUGUGCAUUCAAGCCCCAUGCUGGGUG
Ailuropoda melanoleuca (giant panda) is the source of this 73-nucleotide non-coding RNA. NCBI's taxonomy places the organism in Eukaryota, Metazoa, Chordata, Mammalia, Carnivora, Ursidae. The record is from Rfam.